Molecule: ribosomal RNA, 500 nt
Filed under: Yarrowia lipolytica
Lineage: Eukaryota; Fungi; Ascomycota; Dipodascomycetes; Dipodascales
Description: eukaryotic LSU rRNA
Rfam family: Eukaryotic large subunit ribosomal RNA
Source: RNAcentral
CGGCGAGUGAAGCGGCAAAAGCUCAAAUUUGAAACCCUCGGGAUUGUAAUUUGAAGAUUUGGCAUUGGAGAAAGCUAACCCAAGUUGCUUGGAAUAGUACGUCAUAGAGGGUGACAACCCCGUCUGGCUAACCGUUCUCCAUGUAUUGCCUUAUCAAAGAGUCGAGUUGUUUGGGAAUGCAGCUCAAAGUGGGUGGUAAACUCCAUCUAAAGCUAAAUACUGGUGAGAGACCGAUAGCGAACAAGUACUGUGAAGGAAAGGUGAAAAGAACUUUGAAAAGAGAGUGAAAUAGUAUGUGAAAUUGUUGAUAGGGAAGGAAAUGAGUGGAGAGUGGCCGAGGUUUCAGCCGCCCCUCGUGGGCGGUGUACUGCCGACGCCGAGUCAUCGAUAGCGAGACGAGGGUUACAAAUGGGAGCGCCUUCGGGCGUUCUCCCCUAACCCUCCACACUGCCACCGACGACAUAAUCCACCCAUUUCACCCGUCUUGAAACACGGACCAA